CGCUGGCGGCAGGCGUAACACAUGCAAGUCGAAUGGUAACAGGAAACAGCUUGCUGUUUCGCUGACGAGUGGCGGACGGGUGAGUAAUGUCUGGGAAACUGCCUGAUGGAGGGGGAUAACUACUGGAAACGGUAGCUAAUACCGCAUAACGUCGCAAGACCAAAGAGGGGGACCUUCGGGCCUCUUGCCAUCAGAUGUGCCCAGAUGGGAUUAGCUAGUAGGUGGGGUAACGGCUCACCUAGGCGACGAUCCCUAGCUGGUCUGAGAGGAUGACCAGCCACACUGGAACUGAGACACGGUCCAGACUCCUACGGGAGGCAGCAGUGGGGAAUAUUGCACAAUGGGCGCAAGCCUGAUGCAGCCAUGCCGCGUGUAUGAAGAAGGCCUUCGGGUUGUAAAGUACUUUCAGCGGGGAGGAAGGGAGUAAAGUUAAUACCUUUGCUCAUUGACGUUACCCGCAGAAGAAGCACCGGCUAACUCCGUGCCAGCAGCCGCGGUAAUACGGAGGGUGCAAGCGUUAAUCGGAAUUACUGGGCGUAAAGCGCACGCAGGCGGUUUGUUAAGUCAGAUGUGAAAUCCCCGGGCUCAACCUGGGAACUGCAUCUGAUACUGGCAAGCUUGAGUCUCGUAGAGGGGGGUAGAAUUCCAGGUGUAGCGGUGAAAUGCGUAGAGAUCUGGAGGAAUACCGGUGGCGAAGGCGGCCCCCUGGACGAAGACUGACGCUCAGG
This 728-nucleotide ribosomal RNA is filed under the name uncultured Pseudomonadota bacterium. Its description in RNAcentral is "bacterial SSU rRNA". It matches the Rfam family "Bacterial small subunit ribosomal RNA", at positions 34 to 751 of the family's 1533-position model. The record is from RNAcentral. Lineage: Bacteria; Pseudomonadati; Pseudomonadota.